Molecule: ribosomal RNA, 440 nt
Filed under: uncultured bacterium
Lineage: Bacteria
Description: partial 16S ribosomal RNA
Rfam family: Bacterial small subunit ribosomal RNA
Source: RNAcentral
CCUACGGGAGGCAGCAGUGGGGAAUAUUGCACAAUGGGGGAAACCCUGAUGCAGCGACGCCGCGUGAGUGAAGAAGUAAUUCGUUAUGUAAAGCUCUAUCAGCAGGGAAGAAAAUGACGGUACCUGAGUAAGAAGCCCUGGCUAACUACGUGCCAGCAGCCGCGGGAAUACGUAGGGGGCAAGCGUUAUCCGGAUUUACUGGGUGUAAAGGGAGCGUAGACGGCAGUGCAAGUCUGGGGUGAAAGGUGGGGGCUCAACCACCGGACUGCUCUGGAAACUGUACGGCUGGAGUGCAGGAGAGGUAGGUGGAAUUCCUAGUGUAGCGGUGAAAUGCGUAGAUAUUAGGAAGAACACCAGUGGCGAAGGCAGCUUACUGAGCUGUAACUGACGUUGAGGCUCGAAAGCGUGGGGAGCAAACAGGAUUAGAUACCCGAGUAGUC